Molecule: long non-coding RNA, 1906 nt
Organism: Aegilops tauschii subsp. strangulata
Lineage: Eukaryota; Viridiplantae; Streptophyta; Magnoliopsida; Poales; Poaceae
Source: RefSeq, a predicted model, not a curated record
CGGAGGCUCUCUCUUCCGCACGAGAACGAGAGACGCCUGGCGCUAGGGUUCCCUUCGCCGCCACGCCCCAUCCCUCCGCUCCCGGCAACCCUCGCUACUCUCUCCCAUCCCCUUGCAGUCGCCCUCGUAGUCCCCCGCCGUUGGCCAGGGCAGAGACAGCUUCUUUCGCGCGGCGAGGUGGAGCAGGGUCAACGCGGCGGCUCGAGCGGCUGGGGGCGGCACGGCUGAUCGAUGUAGAGCGGCGGGGGCGGCUGGAUCGACGGUGGCGGCUGGAUCUUGCAGAACGGCGCCGCUGGAGGUCAACGCGGCGGAUUGAGCGGCUGGCGGCGGCGCGGCUGCUCGACGAGGAUCGGCGGUGGCGGCUGGAGCUUUUAGAACGGCGGCGGCGGAGGCUGGAGCUUGUAGAUCGGCGGGCCAACCUGAGCAACAGCUCCAAGGAGGACGCCACCAGGUGCCUGGUCUGGCUGGGGGACCUCAUCGACGCCAAGAAGUUGGGAGGCAGUGCUGCUGGCAGCGACACGCUGCACCUCCCUGUCGCCGGCGUGGCUACUGCAGGUCCAAAGACACAGUGUACUAUGCUCAUGCAUAUGUGACAUAAACCAAUUCUGCAUUAUGCUGCUCAGUGCUCGCAAAUACUGCAAAAUUACUAGGCCUAGGAGAUUUGAGCAUUUGUGAAGGUUUUGGGACACGAAGCCCCAUUGAAGGUUUUGAAUUUUCAAAGCUUCAAAGAUGUUGCAGCUGUGACAAACAAUUUUCACACAUCACAUAUGAUCGGACAAGGUGGUUUUGGCAACGUCUAAUGUCGCCGCCGUGGAGUUCACUGGAAGAAGAACAUCGGUCGAGCAUUCCAAUGUCGCCUCCGCCAAGUUCGCCACCGAGCCAUCCAAUGUCGCCUCUGCUGAGUUCGCCGGAGGAAGAACAUCCGCCGUCCGAACGUGCUACACCAGAGAAGCUCCUUCAGCUAAUAUUAUUACGAUUGGAGCGGCAGGCAUGUCCAUAUUCGGUGCUGCCAGCGGCAAGCAAUACAGGGUAGGUUUUGUAAGUGCUAACAUGGUAAAUUAAUAGGGAUUAUCUAAUCUUUUUGUAUUAAGGAGUUCUAUACGUUUGCAUCAUGCAAAUAUUAUUGUACUAUUAAUUAGUCUAUACUGGAGAAGUCAAAGAGUAUCAUACUCAGGGUCAGUUACGUAGUUGGAAUAUUUGUAACCACACACUAACCUGAAAGUUAGGCACACUAAUUAAGUUUGAUUUUUUUAACAGAAGGAUUUUAUUAAUAUGGCAUUAAGCACACUUUACAAAUAGCAGCUCGAGUGGCUGAGCACUCAUUGCUGAUAGCUCAUUACAGCAAGUCUAGACUGAUGGUGUGCCUUCAAAUUCAGGCUCCUGUGCACUUUGAGUAUUCUGCAUGGAUGAAAUGUAGGCGUGGUCUGGAUAGCAGCUAAGAUUGGCCGGAUAGCCCACGGACCUGCUUUAGUAACAUCAGUUUCUACAACAGCUGAGGCAAGCACGGCAGAGUCUGUCAAAAACUUCGGAUCCUACACAUGUAGUUGAGCUGCAAUCUUCACCGCCAACAGCAGUCCAUAAGCUUCUCUACCUGCAGAGCUGAUGCUACUGGUGGCCACACAGCAGAGAUGUAUACAUGUUCGGUAUGUUGCCCGUUAAUUUGUAAGAAAACACCUAUGUCCGCCUUUGCUACAGCUUGUCCUGGCUCCAACGACCAAGCUGCAUCUGAGUAUAUUUGUGUACCUAAAAAAUCUACUGUAGACUGAGAAGUAACAACACUAGAGAGCUUUAGCUGUUCUGGCUGACUGUGAUCUCCCUUCCGAGUUGAAUCGGGAACAUGUAACUCCUUAAUCAGUAAAAUGUACAAUGUACAAUGCACAAUAUCAAACUGUUCUUAUCUUUCUCA